Molecule: ribosomal RNA, 312 nt
Filed under: uncultured eukaryote
Lineage: Eukaryota
Description: partial 18S ribosomal RNA
Rfam family: Eukaryotic small subunit ribosomal RNA
Source: RNAcentral
CCCCUAGAUGUUCUGGGCCGCACGCGCGCUACACUGAACAGUUCAACAAGUCUUAACCUUGGCCGAUAGGUCUGGGUAAUCUUUGAACGCUGUUCGUGAUUGGGAUAGACCUUUGCAAUUAUGGGUCUUCAACGAGGAAUUCCUAGUAAACGCAAGUCAUCAGCUUGCAUUGAUUACGUCCCUGCCCUUUGUACACACCGCCCGUCGCACCUACCGAUUGAAUGGUCCGGUGAAGCCUCCGGAUUGCGCGGCUUCGGCUGUCGCGAGAAGUUGGCUAAACCUUACCAUUUAGAGGAAGGUGAAGUCGUANCA